GACAUUGAUAGGCCGGGUGUGUAAGCGCAGCGAUGCGUUGAGCUAACCGGUACUAAUGAACCGUGAGGCUUAACCUUACAACGCCGAAG
Molecule: ribosomal RNA, 89 nt
Filed under: Klebsiella pneumoniae
Lineage: Bacteria; Pseudomonadati; Pseudomonadota; Gammaproteobacteria; Enterobacterales; Enterobacteriaceae
Description: partial 23S ribosomal RNA
Rfam family: Bacterial large subunit ribosomal RNA (bases 1-77)
Source: RNAcentral